This 649-nucleotide long non-coding RNA is filed under the name Capsella grandiflora. Its description in RNAcentral is "long non-coding RNA (CGRA_LNC000075)". Lineage: Eukaryota; Viridiplantae; Streptophyta; Magnoliopsida; Brassicales; Brassicaceae. The record is from RNAcentral.
UUAAGUAUUUUAGGAGGCAAUUGAUUUCAGAAUUUCAUAGUCUAGAUGGAGAAUUUAACAAUUCUUUUGGUGUUUUUGCUGUGUUGUUUACUCGUUGAUACUUGAUAUGAUCUUAAUAGGAGCUGGAGAGUUUCUCUGUAACUUGGAAAUUGGAUCUAGCUUCUUCUGAUUUCACAUGAGUUGAUAAGCUCUAAGAAUUUAGGAGGCAUUUGAUUGCAAGAGUAUAUAGUCUAAAUGAGGAAUUUAACAAGUUUUUGAUCUUUUUGUUGUCUAAUUGAGUUGUUUAGUAGUUGAUAUGGGAGCUCGAGAGUCUCUCUGUAUCUUGGAAUUGGUUCUACCUCUUCUGAUUUCGCAUGAGUUGGUGGUAUCUGUUGCUACUGCGUUAGCUCGAAUGUUUAGAAUGCGAUCGAUUGCGGGUUUUUUAGUCUAGAUGGGGAAUUUAUUGGUUUAUAUUGUCAUGUAUUGGUUCUUGUUCUUCUGAGCAUGCAUGAGUCAUGUCUAGUAGCAUUUAGGAGGCAAUCGAUUGCAGAAGUUCAUAGUCUAGUGUUUAUAGCUUGGUAUGAUCAUGUAUUGGGAUGUGUAGCUACUGUGUAAGCUUUAAGCAUUUAGGAGGAAAUCUGUUUCAGAACUUCAUACUCUUGAUGGGGGA